UACGAAGGGGGCUAGCGUUGUUCGGAUUUACUGGGCAUAAAGCGCACGUAGGCGGAUCGUUAAGUCAGGGGUGAAAUCCUGGAGCUCAACUCCAGAACUGCCUUUGAUACUGGCGAUCUUGAGUCCGGAAGAGGUGAGUGGAACUCCUAGUGUAGAGGUGGAAUUCGUAGAUAUUAGGAAGAACACCAGUGGCGAAGGCGGCUCACUGGUCCGGUACUGACGCUGAGGUGCGAAAGCGUGGGGAGCAAACAGG
Molecule: ribosomal RNA, 253 nt
Filed under: uncultured bacterium
Lineage: Bacteria
Description: partial 16S ribosomal RNA
Rfam family: Bacterial small subunit ribosomal RNA
Source: RNAcentral